GCAGCGACGCCGCGUGGAGGAUGACGGUCUUCGGAUUGUAAACUCCUGUUAAACGGGAAGAAAGACUUGUUUCUAAUACAGACAAGUUAUGACGGUACCGUUAGAGAAAGCACCGGCUAACUUCGUGCCAGCAGCCGCGGUAAUACGAGGGGUGCAAGCGUUAUCCGGAUUCACUGGGUUUAAAGGGUGCGUAGGCGGGCAGGUAAGUCGGUGGUGAAAUCCUGGAGCUUAACUCCAGAACUGCCAUUGAUACUAUCUGUCUUGAAUAUUGUGGAGGUAAGCGGAAUAUGUCAUGUAGCGGUGAAAUGCUUAGAUAUGACAUAGAACACCUAUUGCGAAGGCAGCUUACUACGCACAUAUUGACGCUGAGGCACGAAAGCGUGGGGAUCAAACAGGAUUAGAUACCCGAGUAGUCCAAGCCG
RNAcentral lists this ribosomal RNA (422 nucleotides) under uncultured bacterium. RNAcentral describes it as "bacterial SSU rRNA". It matches the Rfam family "Bacterial small subunit ribosomal RNA", at positions 388 to 802 of the family's 1533-position model. The record is from RNAcentral.